GACGGAGGAUGCAAGUGUUAUCCGGAAUCACUGGGCGUAAAGCGUCUGUAGGUGGUCAAAUAAGUCAACUGUUAAAUCUUGAGGCUCAACCUCAAAAUCGCAGUCGAAACUAUUUGACUAGAGUAUAGUAGGGGUAAAGGGAAUUUCCAGUGGAGCGGUGAAAUGCGUAGAGAUUGGAAAGAACACCAAUGGCGAAGGCACUUUACUGGGCUAUUACUAACACUGAGAGACGAAAGCUAGGGUAGCAAAUGGG
RNAcentral lists this ribosomal RNA (253 nucleotides) under uncultured bacterium. RNAcentral describes it as "partial 16S ribosomal RNA". It matches the Rfam family "Bacterial small subunit ribosomal RNA", at positions 524 to 776 of the family's 1533-position model. The record is from RNAcentral.